Long non-coding RNA from Anguilla anguilla (European eel), 681 nucleotides. RefSeq lists it as uncharacterized. The record is from RefSeq and is a predicted model, not a curated record. Lineage: Eukaryota; Metazoa; Chordata; Actinopteri; Anguilliformes; Anguillidae. The transcript has 3 exons.
GAGGCUGGAGCCAGAGCCGCUGCAGCCCAGGCUGGGCCGGCUCCUGCAGAGACAUUGCGAUUCCUGGCGCUGGCUGGCUCCUGACGGAAGCAGAAAGGAGAUAGGUGUGAGCAGACCUGUAAGAAACACGAAGCAACACGUGAUUUCUGAAUCACGUUUCCACGGAGUACGGAAAAAACGGAGCUGCGCUGGACUGCUGAACUGUAAUUUCACCUGCAGCCUGCCUCUAGGCUCAGAUAGGGUCUUCAAUCCAAUGUCAGCGGCAAUCAGAGGAAGGUGACGAGAGCUGGGGAAGGAGGCAGCGAGACACGGGUGUAUUUUUGGAAGGCCGGGACCCGUCGAGCAGCGGCGUUUCAAAUGAGAUGAAGCAGUUGGAUGGCGGGGGAGGCCUUGUCAGUGGAGAACCGCGGCGCUGGAAGCUGGAUGGCCAGAUGCAGUCUGGGACCUGGCGCUCGGUGAAAAAAAAAAACCCAACGCAUUAAUUCUGACGAUCCUGAAGAGGAACCUGCGGGAGCAAGUCGCCUAGCUGAGGAACUCUGGGGCCAGUGUAUAUUAAAGGGUGUAUAUAUUACGGGUAAAAAAAUAAUUCAGAAACGUGGCCUGAGCCUUGCGGAGGCCGGGACUUGGACAGUAGGAAGAACAGAUCUGUGUUUGCCAAACUGAGUUCAGGAGGAUUGUGAA